Molecule: ribosomal RNA, 253 nt
Filed under: uncultured bacterium
Lineage: Bacteria
Description: partial 16S ribosomal RNA
Rfam family: Bacterial small subunit ribosomal RNA
Source: RNAcentral
GACGAACCGAGCGAACGUUGUUCGGAAUCACUGGGCUUAAAGGGCGCGUAGGCGGAUUCUCAAGUCCGGGGUGAAAUCCUCCAGCUCAACUGGAGAACUGCCUCGGAUACUGGGUGUCUCGAGGGUGGUAGGGGUAUGCGGAACUAUCGGUGGAGCGGUGAAAUGCGUUGAUAUCGAUAGGAACUCCGGUGGCGAAGGCGGCAUACUGGACCACAUCUGACGCUGAGGCGCGAAAGCCAGGGGAGCGAACGGG